Molecule: ribosomal RNA, 253 nt
Filed under: uncultured bacterium
Lineage: Bacteria
Description: partial 16S ribosomal RNA
Rfam family: Bacterial small subunit ribosomal RNA
Source: RNAcentral
UACGGAGGGGGCUAGCGUUGUUCGGAAUUACUGGGCGUAAAGCGCGUGUAGGCGGCUUGGCAAGUCAGGCGUGAAAGCCCUCGGCUUAACCGGGGAAGUGCGUCUGAAACUGCCUUGCUUGAGUACGGGAGAGGGAGGCGGAAUUCCCAGUGUAGAGGUGAAAUUCGUAGAUAUUGGGAGGAACACCGGUGGCGAAAGCGGCCUCCUGGACCGAUACUGACGCUGAGGUGCGAAAGCGUGGGGAGCAAACAGG